CACGGUGGGUGGCGCACUUCCUGAUUUCGGGCAGUGUAUUUCGCGUGUAGAUCGCCACCAGAUACCCGGCCCGCCAACAGCGCGGGCUUUUUUUU
This 95-nucleotide small RNA is filed under the name Citrobacter amalonaticus. RNAcentral describes it as "Trp_leader". It matches the Rfam family "Tryptophan operon leader". From Rfam's summary of the family: At least 6 amino acid operons are known to be regulated by attenuation. In each a leader sequence of 150-200 bp is found upstream of the first gene in the operon. Lineage: Bacteria; Pseudomonadati; Pseudomonadota; Gammaproteobacteria; Enterobacterales; Enterobacteriaceae. The record is from RNAcentral.